GGGGAUGUAGUGCAGCGGUCAGCAUGCAGCGCACUCAUAAGGCGCACAGCAGACGCCAGGUUCGACUCCUGGCCGCUCCA
Molecule: transfer RNA, 80 nt
Filed under: Ktedonobacter racemifer DSM 44963
Lineage: Bacteria; Bacillati; Chloroflexota; Ktedonobacteria; Ktedonobacterales; Ktedonobacteraceae
Description: tRNA-Met
Rfam family: tRNA
About the family: Transfer RNA (tRNA) molecules are approximately 80 nucleotides in length. Their secondary structure includes four short double-helical elements and three loops (D, anti-codon, and T loops). Further hydrogen bonds mediate the characteristic L-shaped molecular structure. tRNAs have two regions of fundamental functional importance: the anti-codon, which is responsible for specific mRNA codon recognition, and the 3' end, to which the tRNAs corresponding amino acid is attached (by aminoacyl-tRNA synthetases). tRNAs cope with the degeneracy of the genetic code in two manners: having more than one tRNA (with a specific anti-codon) for a particular amino acid; and 'wobble' base-pairing, i.e. permitting non-standard base-pairing at the 3rd anti-codon position.
Source: RNAcentral